GAUGAACGCUGGCGGCGUGCCUAACACAUGCAAGUCGAACGUGAGGGUGUAGCAAUAUACCUGAAAGUGGCGAACGGGUGAGUAACACGUGGGUAACCUGCCGCGCAGAGGGGGAUAACCAUUGGAAACGAUGGCUAAGACCGCAUGGUCCUUACUAGGCGGGAGUCUAGUGGGGUAAAGCCUUGGCGCUGCGCGAGGGGCCUGCGUCCGAUUAGCUAGUUGGUGAGGUAACGGCUCACCAAGGCGAUGAUCGGUAGCUGGUCUGAGAGGAUGAUCAGCCACACGGGAACUGAGACACGGUCCCGACUCCUACGGGGGGCAGCAGUGAGGAAUAUUGCACAAUGGACGCAAGUCUGAUGCAGCAACGCCGCGUGGAGGAUGAAGGUCUUUGGAUCGUAAACUCCUUUUAAUCGGGGAAGAGUAAGGACGGUACCCGAGGAAUAAGUCACGGCUAACUACGUG
RNAcentral lists this ribosomal RNA (462 nucleotides) under uncultured bacterium. RNAcentral's name for it is "bacterial SSU rRNA". It matches the Rfam family "Bacterial small subunit ribosomal RNA", at positions 28 to 507 of the family's 1533-position model. The record is from RNAcentral.